GAGAUGUGAGUGAACGGAUCCCCUCAAGGGAAGAGAAUAGAAACAAGGGGUGGCACCUUAAUAUCCAAAGCAGAAAAUACGGCUUGAAAUGUACUUAAACUAGAGUUAGGGGACAUAAUGGAUUUUACAAAGUGUAUAAAAGCUGCUCCAUCAAUUGCCAGGAAUGAUUUUGUAGCAAAGGAAGUUUUGGAUGCCAUGGAGAACUAAAAUAAAAGGGAGUGCUGCCAUCUAGUGGACAAGAUAUGACAAGCUCAGCAAAGCUAGGUUAGCAAGGUUAUACCUAUUGUUUACAAAAGCUAAAAUAACAUUUAUAUGGACAAUAAGGGAAAAAAGACAUUAAACACAAUAUUAAGUCAUUUUAUCAUUUUUUUUAAAUGAUCAAAUGCUUCUUAGUUUUUAUUAGAUUUGAUUCAGUGUGUAACCCACAAAAAAUGAGUCCUUCAAAGCGUUAAACCAUUAUAAUGAUUAUUUUACAUUACGCUGAAUAAAAUAAUUAAGAAGAAAAGAAAAUAAGUAAAACAUUUAAAGCGAUUUUUUUUACAUUAACAAAGGAAAAUAUACAGUACAUUUGGCAAAUAUGGAGUUGUUUAGUGUUGUAUAAGUAGGAAAAGAAGUCAACAUCUUAUUUGUUAUGAUGGUGUACACAUAAUGAAUAUUACACAAUUGUUUCACAUAGGUUCACAACGAGGCAUUUUUUUGUUCUUUUUUUUUUUUUUUUUUUUUACAUCUGAAGCACAAUAUUUUACAGUUUUUAGCAGAAUGUCCUCCAUUGUUGGCCAAAAAAAGGGUGAUUCAAUUGAUAUAAAAAUAUCAAAAGAAAAUGCUUUAAAAAUGGAACAAAUACAUGAUAGAUAUUUUCACAUCCCCUGCACCACCGAAGUUAAAUGGAAAGGACAACGUUCAUUUUAAACACAAAUUAAACAGUAGUAGUAUUUGUAAAAAUGUACACAAUACACUAUGUAAUUUUCAAAAUCCGAUUAUGUAGCUUGAUUCAUUCUGCAAAUGGGCCUUAACCAAAAAUAAAAAUAAAUAAGUAAAAAUAAGAAAGGUUUGU
This is a long non-coding RNA of Cyprinus carpio (common carp), 1054 nucleotides long. The record is from Ensembl. NCBI's taxonomy places the organism in Eukaryota, Metazoa, Chordata, Actinopteri, Cypriniformes, Cyprinidae.